RNAcentral lists this ribosomal RNA (505 nucleotides) under uncultured bacterium. Its description in RNAcentral is "partial 16S ribosomal RNA". It matches the Rfam family "Bacterial small subunit ribosomal RNA", at positions 28 to 507 of the family's 1533-position model. The record is from RNAcentral.
GACGAACGCUGGCGGCGUGCCUAAUACAUGCAAGUAGAACGCACAGUUUAUACCGUAGCUUGCUACACCAUAGACUGUGAGUUGCGAACGGGUGAGUAACGCGUAGGUAACCUGCCUGGUAGCGGGGGAUAACUAUUGGAAACGAUAGCUAAUACCGCAUAAUAUUUAUUAUUGCAUUAUAAUUAAUUUAAAGUUUCAAUUGCACCACUACCAGAUGGACCUGCGUUGUAUUAGCUAGUAGGUGAGGUAACGGCUCACCUAGGCGACGAUACAUAGCCGACCUGAGAGGGUGAUCGGCCACACUGGGACUGAGACACGGCCCAGACUCCUACGGGAGGCAGCAGUAGGGAAUCUUCGGAAAUAGACGAAAGUCUGAAAGAGCAAAGCAGCGUGAGUGAAGAAGGUUUUCGGAUCGUAAAGCUCUGUUGUAAGAGAAGAACGGGUGUGAGAGUGGAAAGUUAAAACUGUGAAGGUAUCUUACAAGAAAGGGAAGGAUAAAUAAGUG